GAGGAACAAUUGGAGGGCAAGUCUGGUGCCAGCAGCCGCGGUAAUUCCAGCUCCAAUAGCGUAUAUUAAAGUUGUUGCAGUUAAAAAGCUCGUAGUUGAACCUUGGGCCUGGCUGGCCGGUCCGCCUCACCGCGUGCACUGGUUCGGCCGGGCCUUUCCCUCUGGGGAACCCUAUGGUCUUCACUGAUCGUAGCGGGGAACCAGGACUUUUACUGUGAAAAAAUUAGAGUGUUCAAAGCAGGCCUAUGCUCGAAUACAUUAGCAUGGAAUAAUAAAAUAGGACGUGUGGUUCUAUUUUGUUGGUUUCUAGGACCGCCGUAAUGAUUAAUAGGGACAGUCGGGGGCAUCAGUAUUCAAUUGUCAGAGGUGAAAUUCUUGGAUUUAUUGAAGACUAACUACUGCGAAAGCAUUUGCCAAGGAUGUUUUCAUUAAUCAGGAACGAAAGUUAGGGGAUCGAAGACGAUCAGAUACCGUCGUAGUCUUAACCAUAAACUAUGCCGACUAGGGAUCGGACGGUGUUAU
Molecule: ribosomal RNA, 522 nt
Filed under: Seimatosporium corni
Lineage: Eukaryota; Fungi; Ascomycota; Sordariomycetes; Amphisphaeriales; Sporocadaceae
Description: SSU rRNA
Rfam family: Eukaryotic small subunit ribosomal RNA
Source: RNAcentral